Molecule: long non-coding RNA, 182 nt
Organism: Oncorhynchus nerka (sockeye salmon)
Lineage: Eukaryota; Metazoa; Chordata; Actinopteri; Salmoniformes; Salmonidae
Exons: 3
Source: RefSeq, a predicted model, not a curated record
CUGCUCAACCAGUGGGAGGCAGAAAUACGGACAUAACAGGAGAGAAGGAGUCUGUGUGCUGAGGAGUCUGUGUCAGAGAGGAGUCCAUCUAGGAACCACCGACCCUGCACAUCUAUGGUCCAAGUCGACCUACGACCCCAGGUCUGAUCACCCCAGGCAGGAGCUAAGCAGAUCGAGUGAGU